RNAcentral lists this long non-coding RNA (2081 nucleotides) under Bemisia tabaci. RNAcentral's name for it is "lncRNA ENSSSA1UGG000806". Lineage: Eukaryota; Metazoa; Arthropoda; Insecta; Hemiptera; Aleyrodidae. The record is from RNAcentral.
AUGUACAAUUAUCACUCCUUUCUUCCAGUUUCUGCAAGAAGACCAAUCAAAAAGUCUAAUGCGGGAAGUCAAGCUAAUUUAUAUUUUCCUGCCAUGGACGUGGAUGUGAAUUCUGUUCAUGUGCCAGAAUCUGAUGUUCUUGCAAGCAAACAAAUCCAAUCAGUAGAGGACAUAAGCUCAGGUUACUGUAGUACUGACUCAGUGUUUCCUGCUGAGUCUGAGUUGCAAUCCAAUUCACCUCUAACUAGAACAGGCUCUUUAGGAUCAUCAAGGAUUCGAACUAGAGCGCUAUCUGGAGCUUCAAAAAGGACACCCUCACAGGUAAUCAUGUUCCCUCCUUCUCUCCACUUCUUUUAUUAUCUGAAGGAGCUCUUAAUCGUUUCCCCCAUAGUGAUUUUAAAUACUGAAAGAUGCGUAAAUUUCAUCAGAAGAAAUGAGUUUUUAAUGUUCAAAGAUGAACCACUAAUCAGGGCACGAAAUUAAACACCAUAGUGCAUCGUAGUAAGUAAACAAGUUAAGUCCUGUGCCGAUUAAGAUAAAACCAGCAAUCAGAAAAAUUAUGGUUGAUGCAAAUUUUUAGGGGUGACACUUGGUCAGUGGCUAGGGUCUUCAUUUUUUAGGGGCCAUAGCUCAAAUUUUGUUGGCAGGUUGCUGCAAGUCAAGGCAAUAAUUUUGACUGUUUACUUAGGUAGUAAUUCGAUCUCUGAUGAAUUGUUUGCACCAUUGAGAAACCAAGGGUAGCUGGAGCCUGCUGUAAAGAAACGCUGAACUUGCGAUGAGCUUGAGCUCAGAACAUAAUUUCUCCAGCCCAUAGUUGAAUUUAGAGGCUAGGUUUUGCAACCUACGGUCGACAGUUGCCUACAAAAUUAGGCCCAUGGCUAUGUUUUGAGGAGCAUUUGGCGUGGGUUUGGAACACUGAUCUCAUCAAUGUUUCAGUAUGUCCUGUAUUGCUGCAAGAAGAUCCCCUGAAAUCUCAAAUUUAGAAGUUAGCUGCUCAGCCAUUUGUGGUGAGACUAAAAGUAAACUUUAAUACAAUCUCCAGAAACACAUUUCAAAACAAGUUGAUCCAACGAGUUUAUUGAUGAUGAAAAGACGAAAACAUGUCUGUCACCGUUUUAGGUUGUUAAAUAGUUACUCUGGUCUUUAUGUCUGACUUUUUAAUUAUUUUAUGUAUUUUAUUCAAGAUACAUCAAUUUUACAGAUUCCAGAAUCUGUAAAGAUUUGGAGCCGACCUUAUUGCUUCAUGCUCAGAAGUAGCUGCAAUUAAGUUUUUACCAAAAUGUGACUACUUUCCUGUCCUUUUGAAAUUUAUCCUAAUUUAAGCUGCAACUUGCUCAAACAAUUUUUUUUUUCCCCUUGCUGUACAACUCCCCUCAAACUCAUAAUUUGCAAUGUCCCUCUUUCAUUUUGCUGUAUCAUUUUUCAAGCUUAAAAAGCCAUUUGUACCUUUUUACAAGAGACCUAUGAGAGAAUCUUUUAAUGGAUUCAUCUGCCAGGUUCUCUGGCGGUCUGGAAAACCUAGAAGGUCCUUUAAUUUACGGUGACCUGGAAAAGUCAAGGAAUUUUGCGAGUAGCAUGAUGGCUCAGCAGUGUAAUUAAAAGAAAGAAAAAAAUUCAAGUAGAUGUUCUGUUUGAUGGUCAAAGAAAGGCAGGGAAUUCGGAAAUUUUGGAGUCAAAGAAAAACAAAAGAAGCGAGAGAUAAGCCAGGAAAUUGGAAAAUUACAAAGAUAUGAAAACUCUGAUCUGAUAAUAACUCAAGUGUAUCUUGACUCAUCAGUUUGUCUUCGAGAAUUUCUGCUAAGUUGCAAAUAAACUUUCAAAUGGAAUAUCUUGAAAUUCUUGUACCAAAUGCCAUAGAACUAUGUGGAUGCUUGGUCAUAUUAACAUUAUUUAUUUAUGGAUUUUUCUUUAAAGAUGUUCAAGUCGAUUUACUUAUUUUCUGUGGUUUCUUGAUUUUAAGGACCAAGAGUUAUUUGGAGAAGGCUUGGACAGUGACCAUACCUCCCAUCCAUCCUUCCCAUUUAAUCCUUCGAAUUCCAGUGUCCCUUCUGCUCCACCUAAUUCCCUUUCCCUUGUCAAUU